GAUGAACGCUGGCGGCGUGCCUAAUACAUGCAAGUCGAGCGAACAGACGAGGAGCUUGCUCCUCUGACGUUAGGGGAGGACGGGUGAGUAACAUGUGGAUAACCUACCUAUAAGACUGGGAAAAUUUCGGGAAACCGGAGCUAAUACCGGAUAACAUGCUGAUGCGUGUGGUUCAAUAGAGAAAGACGGCUGUUCGGGAAGGUAUAGAGGGAUCUCCGCCGGAUUAGCUGGUUGGUAAGGUAACGGCUUACCAAGGGUAGGAUGCGUAGGCGACCUGAGAGGGUGAUCGGCCACCCUGGAACGGAGACGCGGUCCAGGGUCCUGCGAGAGGCAGCAGUAGGGAAUCUUCCGCAAUGGUCGAAAGCCUGACGGAGCGGCGCCACGUGAGUGAAGAAGGUCUUCGGUUCGUAAAGCCCUGUUAUUAGGGAAGAACAACUGUGUCAGUAACUAUGCACGUCUUGACGGUACCUGAUCAAAAAGCCCCGGCUAACUACGUG
Molecule: ribosomal RNA, 497 nt
Filed under: uncultured bacterium
Lineage: Bacteria
Description: partial 16S ribosomal RNA
Rfam family: Bacterial small subunit ribosomal RNA
Source: RNAcentral